GAUGAACGCUGGCGGCGUGCCUAAUACAUGCAAGUCGAGCGAAUGGAUUAAGAGCUUGCUCUUAUGAAGUUAGCGGCGGACGGGUGAGUAACACGUGGGUAACCUGCCCAUAAGACUGGGAUAACUCCGGGAAACCGGGGCUAAUACCGGAUAACAUUUUGAACCGCAUGGUUCGAAAUUGAAAGGCGGCUUCGGCUGUCACUUAUGGAUGGACCCGCGUCGCAUUAGCUAGUUGGUGAGGUAACGGCUCACCAAGGCAACGAUGCGUAGCCGACCUGAGAGAGUGAUCGGCCCAGCUGGGACUGAGACACGGCCCAGACUCCUACGGGAGGCAGCAGUAGGGAAUCUUCCGCAAUGGACGAAAGUCUGACGGAGCAACGCCGCGUGAGUGAUGAAGGCUUUCGGGUCGUAAAACUCCGUUGUUAGGGAAGAACAAGUGCUAGUUGAAUAAGCUGGCACCUUGACGGUACCUAACCAGAAAGCCACGGCUAACUACGUGCCAGCCGCCGCGGUAA
This 515-nucleotide ribosomal RNA is filed under the name uncultured bacterium. Its description in RNAcentral is "partial 16S ribosomal RNA". It matches the Rfam family "Bacterial small subunit ribosomal RNA", at positions 28 to 523 of the family's 1533-position model. The record is from RNAcentral.